AGAGACAUCCUCAACGACGACGACGACGACGACAGCGGAAUGAACGUCGAAUGAAUCGUUCGCCAUCGGCAGCAGCGCGGAAACAGCAUCGAAAACAUGCUAUCCUCACAAAAACCUGCAACAACCACCGUGUGCACAACCACCAGUGGAGUGUGCCAUGUCUGCACCACACUGCAGCAAACAAUCGAACCAAAAAAGAAACGAAGAAACAGAAGAGAAUUAAACAGACGUAAACAGACAGCGCUAAA
This is a long non-coding RNA of Anopheles gambiae (African malaria mosquito), 248 nucleotides long. RefSeq lists it as uncharacterized. The record is from RefSeq and is a predicted model, not a curated record. The transcript is spliced from 2 exons. Lineage: Eukaryota; Metazoa; Arthropoda; Insecta; Diptera; Culicidae.